CACACAGCCCACCACCAGGUCACACAGCCCACCAUGAGGCCACACUGCCCACCACCAGGUCACACAGCCUACCAGGCUCCUCACCUGGGCAAGGACUCUGAGUGAGCACCACCUGCUGGCAGGCCUGGGGCUCUGGCACCGGCAGCUCCUCCCAUUUCCUUCUUUCU
This is a long non-coding RNA of Acomys russatus (golden spiny mouse), 167 nucleotides long. RefSeq lists it as uncharacterized. NCBI's taxonomy places the organism in Eukaryota, Metazoa, Chordata, Mammalia, Rodentia, Muridae. The record is from RefSeq and is a predicted model, not a curated record. The transcript is spliced from 3 exons.